Molecule: non-coding RNA, 28 nt
Filed under: Cricetulus griseus (Chinese hamster)
Lineage: Eukaryota; Metazoa; Chordata; Mammalia; Rodentia; Cricetidae
Source: RNAcentral
AUAAUGCGGUGGCCAAGGAAUGCAAACA